UGAGUAAUGUCUGGGAAACUGCCUGAUGGAGGGGGAUAACUACUGGAAACGGUAGCUAAUACCGCAUAACGUCGCAAGACCAAAGAGGGGGACCUUCGGGCCUCUUGCCAUCAGAUGUGCCCAGAUGGGAUUAGCUAGUAGGUGGGGUAACGGCUCACCUAGGCGACGAUCCCUAGCUGGUCUGAGAGGAUGACCAGCCACACUGGAACUGAGACACGGUCCAGACUCCUACGGGAGGCAGCAGUGGGGAAUAUUGCACAAUGGGCGCAAGCCUGAUGCAGCCAUGCCGCGUGUAUGAAGAAGGCCUUCGGGUUGUAAAGUACUUUCAGCGGGGAGGAAGGCGAUAAGGUUAAUAACCUUGUCGAUUGACGUUACCCGCAGAAGAAGCACCGGCUAACUCCGUGCCAGCAGCCGCGGUAAUACGGAGGGUGCAAGCGUUAAUCGGAAUUACUGGGCGUAAAGCGCACGCAGGCGGUCUGUCAAGUCGGAUGUGAAAUCCCCGGG
RNAcentral lists this ribosomal RNA (504 nucleotides) under uncultured bacterium. RNAcentral describes it as "bacterial SSU rRNA". It matches the Rfam family "Bacterial small subunit ribosomal RNA", at positions 107 to 607 of the family's 1533-position model. The record is from RNAcentral.